UGCAAGUCGAACGAAGUCUUCGGACUUAGUGGCGGACGGGUGAGUAACGCGUGGGAAUCUGCCUUCAGGAGGGGGAUAACAGAGGGAAACCUUUGCUAAUACCCCAUAUGCCUAUGGGUGAAAUGAAUUUCGCCUGAAGAUGAGCCCGCGUCUGAUUAGCUAGUUGGUGGGGUAAUAGCCUACCAAGGCGACGAUCAGUAGCUGGUCUGAGAGGAUGAUCAGCCACACUGGGACUGAGACACGGCCCAGACUCCUACGGGAGGCAGCAGUGGGGAAUUUUCCGCAAUGGGCGAAAGCCUGACGGAGCAACGCCGCGUGAGUGAUGAAGGCCCUUGGGUCGUAAAGCUCUUUUGUCAGGGACGAUAAUGACGGUACCUGAUGAAUAAGCAUCGGCUAACUCUGUGCCAGCAGCCGCGGUAAUACAGAGGAUGCAAGCGUUAUCCGGAAUUAUUGGGCGUAAAGCGUACGUAGGUGGCGAUUCAAGUCUGGGGUCAAAGCCCGCAGCUCAACUGCAGAAAGGCCAUGGAAACUGAAACGCUAGAGUGCGAUAGAGGUAAGGGGAAUUCCCGGUGUAGCGGUGAAAUGUGGAGAUAUCGGGAAGAACACCAGCGGCGAAAGCGCCUUACUGGGUCGCAACUGACACUGAGGUACGAAAGCCAGGGGAGCAAAUGGGAUUAGAUACCCCAGUAGUCCUGGCCGUAAACGAUGGACACUAGGUGUUGCGCGUAUCGACCCGUGCAGUGCCGUAGCUAACGCGUUAAGUGUCCCGCCUGGGGAGUACGCACGCAAGUGUGAAACUCAAAGGAAUUGACGGGGGCCCGCACAAGCGGUGGAGCAUGUGGUUUAAUUCGAUGCAACGCGAAGAACCUUACCAGGGCUUGACAUACCGUGUAUUCUGGGGAAACUCGGAAGUGCCUUCGGGAACAUGGAUACAGGUGCUGCAUGGCUGUCGUCAGCUCGUGUCGUGAGAUGUUGGGUUAAGUCCCGCAACGAGCGCAACCCUCGUUUUCAGUUGCCAUCAUUUAGUUGGGCACUCUGGAGAGACUGCCGGUGACAAACCGGAGGAAGGUGGGGAUGACGUCAAGUCAGCAUGGCUCUUACGUCCUGGGCUACACACGUGCUACAAUGGGUCGGAUAAAGGGUAGCAAUCUCGCGAGAGGGAGCCAAUCCCAAAAACCGCCUCUCAGUUCGGAUUGUAGGCUGCAACUCGCCUACAUGAAGUCGGAAUCGCUAGUAAUCGCAGGUCAGCAUACUGCGGUGAAUACGUUCCCGGGCCUUGUACACACCGCCCGUCACACCAUGGAAGCUGGUCAUGCCCGAAGUCUGUAUUCUAACC
RNAcentral lists this ribosomal RNA (1336 nucleotides) under uncultured bacterium. RNAcentral describes it as "bacterial SSU rRNA". It matches the Rfam family "Bacterial small subunit ribosomal RNA". The record is from RNAcentral.